This is a non-coding RNA of Oryctolagus cuniculus (rabbit), 12066 nucleotides long. The record is from RefSeq and is a predicted model, not a curated record. NCBI's taxonomy places the organism in Eukaryota, Metazoa, Chordata, Mammalia, Lagomorpha, Leporidae.
GAUUAUUUAUUUGAAAGGCAAGGUGACAGGGAGAAACAGAUUGUCCAUCUUGUGCGCUCCACAAGUGUCCACAACACCCUGGGCUUGGGCAGGCCAAAGCCAGGAGCCAGGAACUCUGUCUGGGUCUCCUGUGUGGAUAACAGGAACCUAGGUGCUGGGACCAUCAUUGCUGCCUUUUCAGACACGGUAGCAGAUAGGUUAACACCAUAGGUUAAGCCACUGCUUAGAACUGUUGCAUCCCAUGUUGGACUGGUAGUUUUGAGUUCUGAGCGUUCCACUUCCAAUCCAGCUUCCUGCUAAUGUGCCUGGGAAGACAGUGGAUGAUGGCCCAAGUGGUUUGGCACUUGCCACUCAUGUGGGAGACCAGGAUGGAAUUCCGGGCUUCUAACUUUGGCCUGCACAAGCAGAUGUCUCGCUCGCUCGCUCGCUCUCUCUCUGCCUUUCUCUGUUGCUCUUCCUUUCAUCAAAUAGAUUAAUUAUCCAUCCAUCUUUGGAGGGGAAAAAGGUGGAAGAACCAGGAAUCAAGGCAGCACUCCAUGUGGGGGUGUGGGUGUUUAAGCAGCAGCUUAAAUUGCUGUACCAUAGCACUCAUUGUCCCCCUCACCCCUCCACAUGUCUUCUCAUUAUAGCUGUUUGUUUUGUCUUGAAAUCAUGCAUUGCAGGUCCUCGACUUUGUUCUUUUAAAAAUCCUUUGGCUAGUCUAGCUCCUUUUCCAUUUUCAUAUACAUUAUAGAAUCAAUUUGUCAAUUUCUACAGAAACAAAAAAUGUUCAGUUUUGAUUGGGAUGGGAUUGAAUAUACAGAUCAAUUUGGAGAGAACUUGAUACCUUAACAGUAUUGAGUUUUCUGAUCCAUGACCAUGUUCUAUUUGUUCAUACAAAUUUCUCUUGAUAUUUUGUCAUUUUCAUGAUAAUAGGCCUCCCAUAUGUUUUAUUAAAUUUAUGCCUACACGUUAUAUUUUGUGAAACAGUUGUAGAUUGUAGAAUUUUAAAGGCUUCAUUUCUACCUGUUCUUCCUAGAACACAGAAACUUUCUUGCUCUGUCUGGACUUUGUAUCCUACCUUUUUGAACUUAUUUGAGAGUUGUGGUAGCUGGUCUGGCAUUUUCUCCUUUGGAUUGUCUAGAAAUAAGCACCCUUUUACUUUGUUUCCCAUCUGGAUGCCUUUGUUGCUUGUUGCGCUCUGUUGUGCUGGCUGGGACUUCCAGUAGAACACAGACUGCAAAUGCUAAGAACAGACACUCUUGCUUUGCUCCUGAUCUAAACAGCAAACAUUCAGGUUUUCACAAUGAUUGUAGUUCUAACUGUAGAUUGUAGAUAGCUUUUAGGAUGAGGAAGUCUCAUUGUAAACCUAUUUUUCUAAAAGAUGAAUAGGUGUUAAAUUUUGUCAAGUGUUUUUUAUACAUUUAUUAACUAAUGUAUCAUCUACCUUCAAGAAGUAUCGGAACCAUUUAUGAAUAGCUCCAUUCAUGAAAUGACUCCAUUUCUCCUCCAUUGUGGUAAACAUUUUACCUGUACUUAUGUUUAACCCCACCACUAACUUGUACUCUUUGUUGUUGUUUUAAACUGUUAGUUAACAUUUUGAAGGAUUUAAAAAUGAGGGGAAAUUGUGUCUUAAGGGAAAAGGCCCAAGCAAGGCCUCUUUUUUCUCUUUUAAAAUUUUAUUUUAUUUAUUUGAAAGGCAGGUAGACAGAUAGGCACUCCAGUAUGGUUGCAAGUAUCCAAACAGCAUCUUUUAACUACUAUGCCAAAUGCCUGUCCUGGAAAAUUUUCAAUUUCUUGUAGUUUUUUUUUUUUUUUGGUUCAAAUUUCUGUGUCAUAAUUUUCCUUUUUCCUAAAGAGCUCUUUAUCUGCUGUUUGGGAAUUUUCUCAGAGUUUUUUAUUAUCUGAAAGAAUAAUUUGCCUUCAUUUUUGAAUGAUUUUUUUUUUUCUAGACGUGGAAUUCUAGGUUGGUAUUUUUCCUUUAGGAUUUUACGUUUGUUUAUUUUGACUCUGGUCAUUCCUGUUUUGAUAUGUCUGGCUGCUUUCACGACCCCUUUGUCAUUAGUUUUCAGCAAUUUCAUUGGGUGCGUUUGGGUGUGGUUUUGUUCAUGUUCUGCUUGAGUUUCACUGGAAUUCUUAAACGUGGUGCUUUUUGGUUUUAUUCAGAUUUGAAGAAAUUUCAGCCAUUAUUUCUUCAAUAAUUUCCUGUUCCCUACUUCUCUCCAAGUACACAUUAGCCUGCUUGAUAUUUUCUUUUUUUCUUUUUUUUUUUUUUUGACAGGCAGAGUGGACAGUGAGAGAGAGAGACAGAGAGAAAGGUCUUCCUUUGCCGUUGGUUCACCCUCCAAUGGCCGCCGCGGCCGGCGCGCUGCAGCCAGUGCACCGCGCUGAUCCGAUGGCAGGAGCCAGGAGCCAGGUGCUUUUCCUGGUCUCCCAUGGGGUGCAGGGCCCAAGCACCUGGGCCAUCCUCCACUGCACUCCCUGGCCACAGCAGAGAGCUGGCCUGGAAGAGGGGCAACCGGGACAGAAUCCGGCGCCCCGACCGGGACUAGAACCCGGUGUGCCGGCGCCGCAAGGCAGAGGAUUAGCCUAGUGAGCCGCGGCGCUGGCCUUUUUUUUCUUUUUAAAGAUUUAUUUAUGUAUUUGAAAGUCAGAGUUACACAAAGAGAAGAGGGGCAGAGAGAGAGAGAGAGAGUGAGAGAGAGAGAGAGGUCUUCUAUCUGCUGGUUCACUCCCCAAAUUGCUGCAACAGCCAGAGCUGCACUGAUCUGAGGCCAGGAACCUGGGGCUUCCUCCAGGUCUCCCACGUGGAUGCAGAGGCCCAAGGACCUGGGCCAUCUUCUGCUGCUUUCCCAGGUCACAGCAGAGAGCUGGGUCGGAAGUGGAGCAGCCAGGACUUGUACCAGCACCCAUAUGGGAUGCCAGCGCUAUAGGCAGUGGCUUUACUUGCUAUACCACAGUGCCGGCCCCUUGAUAUUUUCUUGUUGCUUCUUCAAUUCUCCAUUUCCCCCCCUACUAUUUUGUGUUUUCUGCUGGCUAGUGGUCAUAUUUUCUUCUGUCGUCCUAGUAAUAUCGUCAUUAUUUUAAAAAUUUGAUUAGAUUUUUAAAAAUUGUUUAUUUGAAAGGCAGAGUUAGAGAGAGAUAUCUUCCAUUUGUUCACUCCCCAAAUGGCUGCAGUGGCCAGGGCUGGGCCAGGCUGAAGUCAGGAGCAUCAUCCAGGUCUCCCACGUGGGCACAGGGGCCCAAACACUUGACCCAUCUUUUGCUUUCCCAGGCGCAUUAGCAGGGAGCUGGAUCAGAAAUAAAGAAGCUGGGAUAUGAACUGGUGCCCAUAUGGAAUGCUGGCAUCAUGGGCAGUGGCUUAAGCGGCUAUGCCACAAUGCCAGCCCCUUGGAUAUAUUUUUGGAUAGAUGAUGGACACCACAAAUUUUAUAUCAAUGUUGCAUGCAAAGUUGAUUUGGGGAUAUCUUUAGUGUUGGAAAACUAUUACCAUACUUGCUUGCUAAUUUGGGGAUAGAAUCUAGUUUGUAAAUAAUUUCUCAUCUCAUUUAUGAUGGUGUUGUUUUACUGUCUUCUCUUAAGAAACUUGAAGAAAAAAGAUGUGAGCUUUGCACUCAACAGUGUCACUGUUUACUGUGCUUUCAGGGAACCCCUAGUUCACAUACCCCUGAACAUAACAGUUGUCUACCAGAGUGUGCAUGGGGAUCCCAGGCUCUGUCUGCUUCUUACUUCCUUUUGGAUUUUUAUUGUGGGUACCCUAUGCCUUUAAAGAAAAUUACUUCGUUCCCGUCUCACCGGGCUUUUGGGAUAACAGAGGAGGGAAGAACACGUCCAGUGACUCCACAGCCCACUUCAGAACUUAGAGGGAAGAGCAGUCCUGGUGUGAACACCCCAGUUUGAAUGGGGCAGGGCUGGGGAGGCAGCGGCUCCAUUUCCUGCCCCUACUUGGAGGGCUGAACCAGCUUACUCGAAUCAGUUCCAUGGCAGUUGACAGAGAUCAGUCCCAGACCCUGUGACUUGAGUAUACGCUUUCCAAGCUGUGUUCUUCUAACUGGGAAUGGGACAAGUAAGUUUGGAGGAUGUGGUGGGGUGGCUUCGCCCAGUUAGCUGCGUCCUGAGAAGGUUCUCGCUGUCCAGUGCAUGGAUACCUUGGGAUGUCAGGGGCCCCACUGUUGGCAAGAAGCCUGUUGUGUGAGAGUCCCUGCGAUGAUGGUGUUCCCUCAGUCAGGAAUGAGAGUAACGUGAGAGGAUUUCACAGUUGGACAUGUGUGUAUUGUAGAUAUAACGGCACAAUUUAAACUGGAGAUUUUAUUACGUGCGUGUAUCCUUUCAAGAUUCCACAACACAGCAAAGAUAUCUUUGCUACCUUGUUGGAUAGCAUCACACGUACCCUUCGCUAAUUUGAUUCCGUAAUAUACUUCCACACAAGCUUCUUCCCGGAAGAGAGUUUUUCUGUAGAGAAUCCAGCCCUGAAGAAUGGAUUUAGCUAAUUCUAUAGUGUCACGCGUGAUGGUAAAACUGAAAGUGGUAAGGCAAAAUAAAUACGUUCUGUAACUGUAUCAUGGGAUUUUUUUUUCCCCAAAGGGAAAUAUCCUCAGGUUCUUAGAUUUUAGGUGACUUAUAUCUGCUGUGUGCUCUAGAAGACACUUGGUUAAUGCCUGGGUUUCCUGAAAGCCUCAACCAAGCUGACAGCCAGCAUCCGUCAUUCGGCUCUCCACUCCACCGACGUGGGUAAGAACCAGCACAGCUUUGCUGCUGCUUGUAAAAUGGGAUUGAGCUACAGUGAUGCAAAGCGUGGGGUCGUCUCAUAAACACAUGUGGGGUUCCUGUGUAGCUGACAUUUCAGGCAGGGUAGGAGAGUGGGUGGUGUGCGCCUCCUCCCGCCCACAUGUCUGAGAUGACGUCAACACCCAGGACUGCCUCUGCCUUCCGCCCCCAGCUGUGUCUGUGUGGAACGUCAGCUGUGUUUGUGUGGAAUGUCAGCCGGCACUUCCUAGCACGAAGUGGCUGAGGCGGUGGUGGCAAAGCUGUAUUCUGUUACCAAAUCCCGUGUGCUCGUUCAUGCAAAGUGGUGAGAAAAGGAAUUUUUGAGCCAGAACUGGAAUGAAUGGUUUUCCCUGGAACUACGGCACAUUUUUUAUAGAGAGAACAUGGUGCUCUUUGACUUACACAUAGCGGCUUCCUGUCUACCAGGGACCCUUUGGCUUGUUAAAAGCUCCUUGGAUCUACUUUAAAUUGUAGCCUGACGAAGCACUCUAAUGGUGUCUGUGUGAUGGCAAAGCCGGGGAUGCAACGGCGUGGCUGGCAGAGCUGGUGCUCGGGACCACGUCUUCCUGCCCAAGGCAGGUGUAGGUUGGCAUCCGCCAGGUUGAAGCCCGGGCUCGUAACCUCAGCCUUUCUGUUCUCUGAACUUGAGGCUGAAGAGAACCGACAUGCUGUCAAGCUGUUUGUUGGUGCUACAGCGCAUGAGAGGGAAGGCUGCAACUCAGCCCUUCUCCUGUGGGCAGGCCCCAGGACCUCACCACGUUUAUGAAAGCCAGCCAUUGGAAGUAGCUCAGGGCAGAUGGGCAGUGCCUGUGUGGAGAGUUUGUUUCCUAUUACAGCUGUCUGGCUCACUUUGGCCUGCCUUUACAACUGCUCUAGGCUUGUUUCUUAUUCUGUAAAGCGAAUGGAUUGAAAUGGUACCAACUGGGGCCAGCGCUGUGGCAUAGUGGGCUAAGUCUCCACCUGCAGCACUGGCAUCCCAUAUGGGUGCCGGUUCGUGUCCCAGUUGCUCCUCUUCUGAUCCAGCUCUCUGCUAUGGCCUGGGAAAGCAGUAGAAAAUGGUCCAAGUCCUUGGGCCCCUGCACCUGCAUGGGAGACCUGGAAGAAACUCCUGGUCCCUGGCUUCAGAUUGGCCCAGCUUCGGCUGUUGUGGCCAUUUGAGGAGUGAACCAGCAGGUGGAAGACCUCUCUCUCUCUCUGUCUCUCCCUCUCUCCAUCUGUACCUCUGCCUCUCAAAUAAAUAAAUAAAUAAAUGGAAGGAACCUGGCAAUGAUGGCUGAGAUCUUUGGGGAAAAAAAAGAAAUGAUACAUAUUUAGGACAAACAGUAAUUUAGUUUUCAUGAAGCAAUAAUUUCUCAAAAGUUUUGGUCCUGCAUGCUUUGUUAGCAUUUCCCAGAAGAGCCAGUAGGAUGUUUUUGUAGAUGCAUUCAAAUAGGAGUUUUCACAAAGUUCACAGAAAAUACACAUCACAGCCAGUGCUGUGGCUCAAUAGGCUAAUCCUCUGCCUUGCGGCGCCGGCACACCGAAUUCUAGUCCCGGUUGGGGCGCCGGAUUCUGUCCCGGUUGCCCCUCUUCCAGGCCAGCUCUCUGCUGUGGCCUGGGAGUGCAGUGGAGGAUGGCCCAAGUGCUUGGGCCCUGCACCCCAUGGGAGACCAGGAUAAGUACCUGGCUCCUGCCAUCGGAUCAGAGCAGUGCGCCAGCCGCAGCGUGGCGGCCAUUGGAGGGUCAACCAACGGCACAAGGAAGACCUUUCUCUCUGUCUCUCUCUCUCUCAUUGUCCACUCUGCCUGUCAAAAAUAAAAAAAUAAAAAUAAAAAUAAAUAAAUAAAAAGAAAAUACACAUCAGAAAAUUGCAUGGAUUUAAAAAAAAAUUUGCUCCAAAAUUAACAUAUUUUAAUUUCAUUUUCCCGUGAGCUUUUUUAAGUUCCCUCAUGGGGGAGUAUGUCCUGAUGAACCAAUAGUAACUUGAAAAUGUCCUAAGUCACAGUGCAUUUAAUACACAUACAGAACAUAUAGCUUAGCACCACAGUCCACUGUAAGGUAUCUGUCGUUUACCCUCGUGAGAGCCGAGUUUCCCCGCUGUGGCUGCUCAGCGUUGCGAGAGGAUCGCGCCACACUGCCAGCCAGGGAAGCGAUCAGAACUCACAGUGCAGCCUCUACUGAACGUCUGCUGCUUUUGUCCCUUUGUAGAGUUGAAAAAUUCCAAGUUGAAUUCUUGAGUCAAGGACCAUCUGUGUGUGUGUGUGUGUGUGUGUGUGUGUGUGAGAGAGAGAGAGAGAGAGAGAGAGAGAGAGAGAGAGAGGCAAGGAGCUGGCUUAAGUGGUCCUGGAGGCUGAGAAGGCCCCUGACCUGCCAGAGAGAGAGAGAGAGAGAGAGAGAGAGAGAGAGAGGGGCGAGGAGCUGGCUUAAGUGGUCCUGGAGGCUGAGAAGGCCCCUGACCUGUGUGGUGUAGUUUCAGGAUGAGCCUGAAGGCCUGAGAAGCCAGAGAACUGGUGGUGUCGUUCCAGUCCACAGAUGGAGAAAAUGGGCGGUGCAGCUCAGCGGGCGGGCAGGUGAAUCCAUGCUGCCUCCUGUUGGUUCCAGGCAGGCCCUCAGAGGAUUGGAGGCUGCGCCCCACACCGGAGAGGGCAGCCCGCUGCACUGAAUCCAGCAGUUCAGGUGCUGUUCUGUUGUGGAAACACCCUCCCGGGCACACCCCGAAAUAGUGUCACCAGCUAUCUGGGCCUCCUGUGACCUAGCCAAGUUGACACAAGAAUUAGUGUCACGUACGCCUUUAUGUGUUUAAAACUGUCGAGGACCCUGGUUGGUCUCAGCCGAGUCGUUGCCUGGCCAGAGGUGGACAUGAGGUUGCCGCACCUGCUCUGCGUGCUCCAGUCUUCCUGCCCACUGCGCAUGGGCAGGAUGGCCUGCAAGCAGAUCUGUUACCCAGAAAACUCCCCAGACAAGCACCCCAAACCCUCCUGAUGUCUGAGGAGGAAGGCAGGAGACUUGGUGUCCACCAGGUCCAGGGUGAAUCCACUACUUGAGUCGUGAGCCAGAGCCACGUAGUCUUCUCUUCAGAUGACCUCUUCCAAAAGGGCCACAAAAGUGAAAUAUAUCUGCCCACAUUUAAUGUGUAAAGUAGCUUUCAGUGAAUACUUGGAAAAUAUGCAGAUCACGCAUCCAUACCUGCACGAGCUGUAUUUUUCACAGCAGCAGAACUCAGUUAAAGGCAGCUGCCCGUAGUUACUCUAAGGGGUUUAAGAUAAAAUGUCCUCUAGGCAGUGUUCUCUCUCUCUCCCUCCCUCUUUCAGAUAAAUUUAUUUAUUUGAAAGGCAGAGUUACGCAGAGAGAGCAAGCGAGAGGUGUUCCUCCGCUGGUUCACUCCCCAAAUGGCCACAACAGCCAGAGUUGGGCCAAUCUGAGGCCAGGAGCUGGGAGCUUCUUCUGGGUCUCCCACGUGGGUGCAGGGGCCCAAGGACUUGAGCCAUCUUCCACUGCUUUCCCAGGCCACAGCAGAGAGCUAGAACGGAAGUGGAGCAGCUGAGUCUCAAACCAGUGCCCAUAUGGUAUGCCUGCACUGCAGGUAGCUUUACUGGCUAAGCCACAGUGCCAGUCCCCAGUUCUUCUCUUAGUAUAAGUGCUUGCCUUAUAUAUAAUAUAAUAGGCUUGCCUAUUACCUUUAUUAAAGUUUGUAUAUUACAUUUUUUUAAAAAAUAUUGAAGAUACUGAGAAAUUUUUUUCUGUGGUUUACCUAUUUUUAAAGAUUUAUUUAUUUGAAAAAAAAAAAGAUUUAUUUAUUUGAAAGGCAGAAUUACAGAGAGAGGGAGAGACAGAGGAGAUCUUCCAUGUACCGACUCACUCCGCAAAUGGCUGUAAUAGUUGGGACUGGGUCAGGCUGAAGUCAGGAGUCAGGAACUCCAUCUGGGUCUCCCACAUGGAUGGCAGAGGCCCAAGCCCUUGGGCCAUCUUCCACUGCUUUCCCAGGUGCAUUAGCAGGGAGCUGGAUCGGAAGUGGCGCCGAUAUGGGAUGUUGGCAUCACAGAAUGUUGCUUAACCCUUUGCAACAUAAUGCCAGCCCUACAAAUUUCUUAAGACAACUGAAUUCUCCCAUUUGUUUCUGUUCAGAGCUGCAUCAUUUUGGUUGAAUUUUAUAAAGAAAAUUCUGCAUCACACAGAUGCAUGGUUGGAGAAUGGAUGCCUGUUAGAUAAUUGUGGUCAGUCUUUGAUACUGCACUAGACGUUGACAGUGGGGUUGCUUACAGUUGUUUGCCAUGUGGACUGUGAAACCCCACGACUGGAGUGUUUGUUACACCACGAUCCACGGGUGUGUUUGCAUGCUGGAUGCGUCUUGGCUAUGCGUGGUUUGUAACCUUAUGCCUUGUUCAUUGGAAAGUAUUGAUUCUUUGAGUCAUGCAGAUCUUCUAAAUGGCAGCACAUUUAGUUAUCCAACAUUUAAAAAUUACAUUUAAUAUCACCAAUCUCACACCGUUUGAUACUUGCUUUCCAAAGUUCCAGUUUUUGCUCGAGAGUUCAAUUUUAUCUUAGCAAGAAGUACUGUCAGUUACUCCUGAGCUGAAGGACUUGUUGAUUAGAGGAGAGGUCUGCCUGAAAUGCUGUCUGAACAGCCAGACUGCCUCCCAGCCGUCCUUGCAAACGGGGUGAGUGUUCCAGGAAGAGAAGUGACAGGUUCACCUUGAACCGUACCGCAAGCACAGGGCUUUUCCCGGAGAGACUCCUGACUGCAGUAGCAGCAGGGGCACUUUGUGCAUUUGUCCCAUUUUAGAUGGCCAAAAAGACAGUCUCGAGGGUCAAGCUUUAAAAAAUAUUAACCAUUUUAUUCCUUCCUCAAGGACUUUCUUAAAGGAGACCGGUCUUUUAUUGCCCAUGAGUGUGAGACCGUGAGGGGCUCGAUACCUGGGACUCCCUGCUGAGGCCCCAGUGGGGUUUCUCACUGCUGUGUCUCCACCAUCUGUGCAGGUGUCAGCCAGUGAAAGAGGCAGACGACGUGUGAGGACAGUCGCGGACAUCCUGACAACCUCAUGAACCUGCGUGUCGUGGGUACCUCCAGGGGUCCCUGAGCCACUUGGAAGCCCGUGGCAGUUCCGUCCAAGCCACCAGCAGUGCUGGGAUGGAGGAGGAGGAGUGUGUCUGCGUUGGGCAGAGCUGCAUGACAUGGUAAGCCAGUACUGUCCCCAUGAGCGAUGGGAGGCUUGCAGCGAAUUUUGAUCUGUAAGCUGGAGGAAGGUUCUCGAGCAGCCACACCGCUUGGGAGCAGUAGGUGGCCAGGGCCCCACAGCGCGUGGUCCGUGGUGAAGCCUCUGGCACCGCUCCCACCAGCCUGGGCUGAUCCACUGCUGCCGAUCAGCUCUGAGACCACCUGUGCCCGUAACCAACCCCGGCACAGCCCACCCUCCUCCACCUGGCGCCUUGGGGACCACGUGCCCUUGUCUCCCCCCGCUUUCUCCUCACACCCACUGGUCUUUCACUGCCCCGUGCUCCUGCAGUGUCGCCUCCUUGACUUGCCCCAUAGACUAGGAACUUGACAUUGACUUUCAGCAUGGAGUGUGUGCCCGCUGGACCUGAGAUUCAUUCACAGGAGAGCAGGAGCUCUGGCUGUAUGCGCUGCCUCAGAGGUCAGUCCUGUGCUAUGAAAGGGACGUCGUGCAGCAGAGACCUGGCCUGUGUCUCACAGCCCCACUGGCCCGAGGGCUCGGCCCACAGCAGCGGCUCAGGGCUAAUCAGAACUCCAUCCAUGGUGCUACUUCCGAUGCCCAGCAUGCCUCACGCCAGCCUGACCCCCACAGCUGCCCACAAGGUCUGUCCUGUCUGGAUGCCUCCAUCUGUCUCCAUGUACUGGAGCAGCCUGGGUGCCCUCCCCUCACUGCCCCCCACCCCUGUCUGGCCAGAUAUGUGGUUUCUUGUUGGUUCAGGAGGGUCUUUGUUUUGACAACCAUAACUUUUAAGAAGCUAGAUGCGGUGUUUUUGGCAGGAAAGGCCAGGGGAAGCGCUGAGUUUUGACAGCAGGUGCCUGGGUGACGGCGACACAGGGAACGGCCGGUCCAUGUCUGAGUGCAAAGUCCAACCAGGAAAGAGCUCAGGGCACUUCUGGCUGCGGCAGGGGAGCCCUCUACUGAGGGUUGCUGUGCUGAUGGUCUGGGUGUGCACGGGUAGCAUAUUCUUGCCCUAAAGGAGGAAGAGACAGCAUGUUCAAAGGCAUCAUGUUUCCAAGCUCCCCGGUUACUGGGGCCUGAAAUCCCUUUGUUAGCAAUCCACUGCUAAGCCUGCUGUCUCCUCAGGUUCCUCCUCCACCUUUUUUUUUUUUUUUUUUUUUAAAGAAUUUAAAGGAGUAUUAGGUAGAGAGAGAAAUCUUCCAUCCACUGAUUCACUCCCUAAAUGGCUGUAACAACCAGGACUGGCCAGGCUGAAGCCAGGAGCCUGGAACUCCAUUUGGAUCUCCCAUGUGGAUGGCAGGAGCCAAAGCACUUGGCCAUCAUCUGCUGCCUUCCCAGGUGCAUUAGCAGGGAGCUGGAUUAGAAUUGGAGCAGCCGGGACUUGAACUAGCACCGGUUCCAAGUAAUUGCAUUUUUACAAGGAGACAAGGGGGCUGGCAUUGUGAUAUAGUGGUAAAGCUGCCACCUGCGAUGCUAGCAGCCCAUCUGGGUGCCUAUUUGAGACCCAGAUGGAAUUCCUAGCUCCUGGCUUCUGGCUGGCCCGGUCAUGACUAUCAGGGCCAACUAGGAGAGUGAACCAGUGGAUGGAAAAACCUUUCUCUCUCUGUAACUCUGCCUUUAAAAAGUAUGCAGUUCCUCUCAGAAACCCUGAAUAACUAACUGAAACUUCUGCUAACAAGUUAGUGUCUGGCACCAGCUGCAUGCAGAGUGGAGCUGCCUGGGGGGCAACCUGUGGAGUUGCUGGCGCAAGGGCAGACGAGCAGGCUCCGGAGUGCGGGCUCAGGUUCCAGGCCCAACGCCUGAAUCUCUGAUUGAAGAAUAUGGCUGUUACAUGUUGGUGACUCAUGCUGAGUGUCUCAAACGGAAUCUCACGAAGCCGUCAUCCUGACUGGGGAGGUAGGAAGUCUCCUUGGAGAAAGUGGCUUUGCCCUGCCCUGGCCAGGGGAGUGCGAUCUGGAAGCAAGAACGGCACGUGGGAGCCCUUGGGAGACUGACAGGUGUGUCUUAGUGCCGGUGCACAGGGGACACGACCAGGACUGGGGGUGGGGGUGGGGUGAGCCCCCAGAAUGGCAUGGCCAGGCUGAGCUGCUCACCCCAGGAACCCACACGCCUCCAAGGGCCUAGAGCAGAAGGGGAGACGAAUUCCCGCCGUGGGACUGUCCUUUAGGCU